Rhizobium sp. Root564 is the source of this 77-nucleotide non-coding RNA. Lineage: Bacteria; Pseudomonadati; Pseudomonadota; Alphaproteobacteria; Hyphomicrobiales; Rhizobiaceae. The record is from Rfam.
ACAGCCCCCAGUGGUGAUUUGCCGACCGGCUUGCAGCCACUUUAAAGAAGUCGCUAAAGGGUCGAGGAAACAGGCAA